This is a long non-coding RNA of Quercus lobata, 1000 nucleotides long. RefSeq lists it as uncharacterized. The transcript has 2 exons. NCBI's taxonomy places the organism in Eukaryota, Viridiplantae, Streptophyta, Magnoliopsida, Fagales, Fagaceae. The record is from RefSeq and is a predicted model, not a curated record.
CAAUACCUAGGGUAUUGCACGGGGUGCAAUAGCUGUAAUUUCAGCCUUUGAUUUAAUCCAACGGUUGUAAAGAGUUGCCACGUCAUCGAUCUGUGUCUCCCCAAUUUUUUACUCCACUUUUUCGCCCUUUCACUUCCCUUUCUCUUUCAGAUUCACCAACUUUCAAAAUUUUGCUCUCUUUCACCAAACCUUGCUGUACGUGGGACACCAGCAUCGAUUCUCCAUGACCAUGGCUACAACUGGAAGCCUCCAAGGCUCACACGACCACCACCGGCGGUGCUUGCUAGCCUGACCUUCUCCUCUCUUUAGGUCUCUGUUUUUUCGCUCUCUCAAGUCCAGCCGUGGCCAAGCUUCUUGGUUACACCGCGACACCACCAUUUUGGAUACCAUUCAUUGGAUCUCAUUCCAUACUUGGGAGGGUAGUUGUUGUGAAUGCUAAUCCUGAUGAUUUGGAAGCAUGAAUGUCCAUUGGUUUAAAGCUGCAUGUAUCUCUAUAGGAUCUAGCCGACUAUUGUUUUUUGCUUGGUGAGGUGUGCGUGCAAAAGAAGACUCUUCAAAACAAUUUGGAAACCAACUUUGGCAUAUCAACUCCUGAAUAAGUGGAGUGUUAUGGCAAAUUUAAUUUGUAUAAGAGGCUUUCUCUCUUGGGGUUACAAACUGCAGUUAAUACAAUUAGAGAAGUGUUGUGGUUUGAUUCUUGUUAACAAGAAAAAAAUUUAGCCUUUACUGGCCAUCUUGUAUUUAUCUCCAUAUACAGCUUUGUCAACAAUAAUGAGGACAUCUUGUAUUUAUCAUCAUAUAUCUUGAGAAGUAUGAAAUGGACUUGUUCUGGGUAGCUGGUGUUGUGUUUUUGCUUUCUGUUGUUGCUACAGAAUUGAAUAACUGAGCAAUUUGUUGCAUCUUCAUGUUGUAGUUGAUUUUGUGCUGCUAAGUUGAUUUUGUGUUGACAAAUAUAUGUAAUGUAUACAAUUUUGUUUAUGUUAUACGCUUUCUUAAUGCA